This 267-nucleotide non-coding RNA is filed under the name Streptomyces afghaniensis 772. RNAcentral describes it as "Bacterial small subunit ribosomal RNA". It matches the Rfam family "Bacterial small subunit ribosomal RNA", at positions 344 to 620 of the family's 1533-position model. Lineage: Bacteria; Bacillati; Actinomycetota; Actinomycetes; Kitasatosporales; Streptomycetaceae. The record is from Rfam by way of RNAcentral.
GGAGGCAGCAGUGGGGAAUAUUGCACAAUGGGCGAAAGCCUGAUGCAGCGACGCCGCGUGAGGGAUGACGGCCUUCGGGUUGUAAACCUCUUUCAGCAGGGAAGAAGCGAAAGUGACGGUACCUGCAGAAGAAGCGCCGGCUAACUACGUGCCAGCAGCCGCGGUAAUACGUAGGGCGCGAGCGUUGUCCGGAAUUAGUUGGGCGUAAAGAGCUCGUAGGCGGCUUGUCACGUCGGUUGUAGAAACGCCCGGGGCUUAACCCCGGGU